Molecule: ribosomal RNA, 484 nt
Filed under: uncultured bacterium
Lineage: Bacteria
Description: partial 16S ribosomal RNA
Rfam family: Bacterial small subunit ribosomal RNA
Source: RNAcentral
AUUGAACGCUGGCGGCAGGCCUAACACAUGCGAGUCGAGCGGAUGAAGGGAGCUUGCUCCUGGAUUCAGCGGCGGACGGGUGAGUAAUGCCUAGGAAUCUGCCUGGUAGUGGGGGAUAACGUCCGGAAACGGGCGCUAAUACCGCAUACGUCCUGAGGGAGAAAGUGGGGGAUCUUCGGACCUCACGCUAUCAGAUGAGCCUAGGUCGGAUUAGCUAGUUGGUGGGGUAAAGGCCUACCGAGGCGACGAUCCGUAACUGGUCUGAGAGGAUGAUCAGUCACACUGGAACUGAGACACGGUCCAGACUCCUACGGGAGGCAGCAGUGGGGAAUAUUGGACAAUGGGCGAAAGCCUGAUCCAGCCAUGCCGCGUGUGUGAAGAAGGUCUUCGGAUUGUAAAGCACUUUAAGUUGGGAGGAAGGGCAGUAAGUUAAUACCUUGCUGUUUUGACGUUACCAACAGAAUAAGCACCGGCUAACUUCGUG